GGCUGGUCCGAGUGCAGUGGUGUUUACAACUAAUUGAUCACAACCAGUUGCAGAUUUCUUUGUUCCUUCUCCACUCCCAAUGCUUCACUUGACUAGCCUAAA
This is a non-coding RNA of Callithrix jacchus (white-tufted-ear marmoset), 102 nucleotides long. The record is from Rfam. NCBI's taxonomy places the organism in Eukaryota, Metazoa, Chordata, Mammalia, Primates, Cebidae.